Non-coding RNA from Oryctolagus cuniculus (rabbit), 315 nucleotides. Lineage: Eukaryota; Metazoa; Chordata; Mammalia; Lagomorpha; Leporidae. The record is from RefSeq and is a predicted model, not a curated record.
CAGAAGCAAUGACCAGGAAGGAAAACAUCAAAAACCCAGUUGGGAAGAUCUAUUAACACAGCAAAAUACCAAUCUCUAUUCAUAACUAUCGCCAGCUUCCUAAACAGUUAGGAAGUCCAGUGUAUUUUCUGUUGCAGUAAAAAGGUAAAGUGUUCCAGAGAAUCGAAUUAGCAUGUGUAAAAUUAUUUACUGGAUUACACAGAUGUCAAGUGAUAGAACGAACUCCAGGUCAAAUUCUACAGCAGCACUGUCCAACUGCAACACAAUAAAGACAAGCAAUUUUAGAUCUAUUAGCCACAUUAAAAAAGAAGCAGA